This 104-nucleotide small nuclear RNA is filed under the name Dasypus novemcinctus (nine-banded armadillo). The record is from RNAcentral. Lineage: Eukaryota; Metazoa; Chordata; Mammalia; Cingulata; Dasypodidae.
GUGCUCACUUUGGCAGCACAUAUACUAAAAUUGGAAUGAUACAGAGAUUAGCAUGGCCCCUAUGCAAAGAUGACAUGCACAUUCAUGAAGAAUUCCAUAGUUUU